This is a non-coding RNA of Procambarus clarkii (red swamp crayfish), 801 nucleotides long. The record is from RefSeq and is a predicted model, not a curated record. NCBI's taxonomy places the organism in Eukaryota, Metazoa, Arthropoda, Malacostraca, Decapoda, Cambaridae.
AUAUAUAUAUAUAUAUAUAUAUAUAUAUACAUACAAUAUAUAUAUACCCCCACACAACAUACAUAUUAAGUAUAUAUCAUGUAUACGUAGCAUCCCACACAAUGCAUAACUUAAAUCACUUAAUUAUUCAAUCACAGUAGGAACAAACUAACUGUAACCAUUCAGGAUCUAAUAUGGUACUCAGGUACCAGCACAUGAGAGCUAAGGGUUGAGAAAUAUCCAAGAUGAGGACAGUGCGUGUCAAGAAGCUGACUUAACCUGAUGAGAAACAAUGUGACACAGAUGAGGGAUCUUCUCUGAAUGUGUGGAUGGGGAAGAGAGUCAACUUGAACCUCUUUAUCACAGUAGAGCAGUAAGGAGGACCUCCUCGCGUGUCCGGAGACUUACUGAGCCUCUGCCUGAACCUGUCUAUCGUCGCUGCGUCAACUUACGUCCAGACGCAAGUUUGUGCGAGACUAAUGGACUCACUGAAGCUUUCGCAAAGUAUCCCAGUAACGGGUGGGGAAAACAACGUUCAUUCAACGUCAGUAACAAUGAUUCAACGUUUAUUCAACGUCAAUAACAAUGAUUCAACGUUGACUCAGUGUUGUUUGGCCCACUGGGAAGACGUUUGCUCAGUGUGACACCCGCGUUCCAAUCUCCCUACUUCGUAAAACCCAUUUCCUACAGAGGCCGAAGCUGAGGUCCUGCAGACGAGAGCUCACAAUCUUAUGCAACUCAUCUAAUUUCUGUGUAAUGAAUUUAAAUACUGGAUUUAAAUAACGUCGACAUAUGCCAGUAAAUAAAAUCAAUAAUACCGUU